AGUGAACGCUGGCGGUAGGCCUAACACAUGCAAGUCGAACGGCAGCACAGUAAGAGCUUGCUCUUACGGGUGGCGAGUGGCGGACGGGUGAGGAAUACAUCGGAAUCUACUUUUUCGUGGGGGAUAACGUAGGGAAACUUACGCUAAUACCGCAUACGACCUACGGGUGAAAGCAGGGGAUCUUCGGACCUUGCGCGAUUGAAUGAGCCGAUGUCGGAUUAGCUAGUUGGCGGGGUAAAGGCCCACCAAGGCGACGAUCCGUAGCUGGUCUGAGAGGAUGAUCAGCCACACUGGAACUGAGACACGGUCCAGACUCCUACGGGAGGCAGCAGUGGGGAAUAUUGGACAAUGGGCGCAAGCCUGACCCAGCCAUACCGCGUGGGUGAAGAAGGCCUUCGGGUUGUAAAGCCCUUUUGUUGGGAAAGAAAAGCAGCAGGUUAAUACCCCGCUGUUCUGACGGUACCCAAAGAACAAGCACCGGCUAACUUCGUG
RNAcentral lists this ribosomal RNA (492 nucleotides) under uncultured bacterium. RNAcentral describes it as "partial 16S ribosomal RNA". It matches the Rfam family "Bacterial small subunit ribosomal RNA", at positions 29 to 507 of the family's 1533-position model. The record is from RNAcentral.